AUACAAACUACAUAUACAUAUUGGUGGGAAGGGGGAAUAUUUAGUAUUUAUGUGGAAGAGAAUACCAUCAAUUUGUUCUACUAGUGAAUAGUUAGAAAACCUACAGUUCAAACCCCACCCAGAGAGAGAGAGAGAAACUUCUGGCUUGUCAAUUCAAUAUACCCCACUCAAGAAAGUGCCCUAUCUAUUAAUGAUCCAUCUGCUAUGGCAUAUGCAUCAUCGAAAACAAAAUUUUUGCAGAGUCUAGAAAUGGAAGAAGUUAGAUAAAUUGUAUGAAGAUUAUCCACCAGAUGCAUACCUCUUGAAUAUCAUU
RNAcentral lists this long non-coding RNA (313 nucleotides) under Nicotiana benthamiana. RNAcentral's name for it is "long non-coding RNA (NBEN_LNC001811)". The record is from RNAcentral. Lineage: Eukaryota; Viridiplantae; Streptophyta; Magnoliopsida; Solanales; Solanaceae.